GGGGGGCGCCCGCCCCCCGGCCAGCCGCGGGGAGCGGCCCAGUUGGGGUCCCUCCCCUCGGCGCACGAACAAAACCCCGGCGCGGGACGCGCCAAGGACCAUGAGAACAAAGAGAGCGCCCCGUCGGCCCCGGGAACGGGGCGCGGGGGGGCGUCUUCUUUCGGUAUGAGCCAAAAAA
Molecule: ribosomal RNA, 178 nt
Filed under: Casearia comocladifolia
Lineage: Eukaryota; Viridiplantae; Streptophyta; Magnoliopsida; Malpighiales; Salicaceae
Source: RNAcentral